RNAcentral lists this ribosomal RNA (321 nucleotides) under uncultured bacterium. RNAcentral describes it as "bacterial SSU rRNA". It matches the Rfam family "Bacterial small subunit ribosomal RNA", at positions 28 to 350 of the family's 1533-position model. The record is from RNAcentral.
GACGAACGCUGGCGGCGUGCUUAACACAUGCAAGUCGAGCGAUGAAGCACCUUCGGGUGUGAAUUAGCGGCGAACGGGUGAGGAACACGUGAGAAAUCUGCCUUCAACACUGGGAUAACUCCGGGAAACCGGGGCUAAUACCGGAUAUGAAACCCUGCGGGCAUCCGCGGGUUUGGAAAGUUUUUCGGUUGAAGAUGAUCUCGCGGCCUAUCAGCUUGUUGGUGAGGUAAUGGCUCACCAAGGCGACGACGGGUAGCCGGCCCUGAGAGGGCGACCGGCCACACUGGGACUGAGACACGGCCCAGACUCCUACGGGAGGCA